RNAcentral lists this ribosomal RNA (828 nucleotides) under uncultured bacterium. Its description in RNAcentral is "bacterial SSU rRNA". It matches the Rfam family "Bacterial small subunit ribosomal RNA", at positions 72 to 914 of the family's 1533-position model. The record is from RNAcentral.
AGAAGAGCUUGCUUUUCUUAGCUUAGUGGCGAACGGGUGAGUAACGCGUGAGUAACCUGCCCUGGAGUGGGGGACAACAGUUGGAAACGACUGCUAAUACCGCAUAAGACCACGGAUCCGCAUGGAUCUGCGGGAAAAGGAUUUAUUCGCUUCAGGAUGGACUCGCGUCCAAUUAGCUAGUUGGUGAGGUAACGGCCCACCAAGGCGACGAUUGGUAGCCGGACUGAGAGGUUGAACGGCCACAUUGGGACUGAGACACGGCCCAGACUCCUACGGGAGGCAGCAGUGGGGGAUAUUGCACAAUGGGGGAAACCCUGAUGCAGCGACGCCGCGUGGAGGAAGAAGGUUUUCGGAUUGUAAACUCCUGUCGUUAGGGACGAUAAUGACGGUACCUAACAAGAAAGCACCGGCUAACUACGUGCCAGCAGCCGCGGUAAAACGUAGGGUGCAAGCGUUGUCCGGAAUUACUGGGUGUAAAGGGAGCGCAGGCGGACCGGCAAGUUGGAAGUGAAAACUAUGGGCUCAACCCAUAAAUUGCUUUCAAAACUGCUGGCCUUGAGUAGUGCAGAGGUAGGUGGAAUUCCCGGUGUAGCGGUGGAAUGCGUAGAUAUCGGGAGGAACACCAGUGGCGAAGGCGACCUACUGGGCACCAACUGACGCUGAGGCUCGAAAGCAUGGGUAGCAAACAGGAUUAGAUACCCUGGUAGUCCAUGCCGUAAACGAUGAUUACUAGGUGUUGGAGGAUUGACCCCUUCAGUGCCGCAGUUAACACAAUAAGUAAUCCACCUGGGGAGUACGACCGCAAGGUUGAAACUCAAAGGAAUUGAC